RNAcentral lists this ribosomal RNA (468 nucleotides) under uncultured bacterium. RNAcentral's name for it is "partial 16S ribosomal RNA". It matches the Rfam family "Bacterial small subunit ribosomal RNA", at positions 28 to 507 of the family's 1533-position model. The record is from RNAcentral.
GACGAACGCUGGCGGCGUGCCUAACACAUGCAAGUCGAACGGAAAGACCCUGAGCUUGUUCGUCUCUCGAGUGGCGAGCGGGGGAGUAUCACGCGUGUAUCCUCUCCCUAUCUUUCGGAUAACACCAGGGAACUGGGGCGAAUAUCGCGUAGGAGCUCCUGCAGCACGGGGGUGGAUGGAAAGAGUCGGCGGUUGGGGAUGGACUCGCGGCUUAUCCGCUUGUUGGUGGGGUAGUGGAUUACCAAGCCUUCGACGGGUAGCCGGCCUGAGAGGGUGAACGGGCACAUUGGGACUGCGGUAGGGAGCAGACGGGAACGGGAGGCAGCAGGGGAAAAUAUUGCAGAGUGAGCGGGAGCGUGUGAUAGCAGCGUCGCGUGCGUGAUGACCGGCUUCGAGGUGUAAACAGCUGUCGCCUGUGACGAAGCGUGAGUGACGGUAACGGGUAAAAAAGCACCGGCUAACUACGUG